AUGGGGAUGCGUCCGAUUAGCUUGACGGCGGGGUAACGGCCCACCGUGGCAUCGAUCGGUAGGGGUUCUGAGAGGAAGGUCCCCCACAUUGGAACUGAGACACGGUCCAAACUCCUACGGGAGGCAGCAGUGAGGAAUAUUGGUCAAUGGGCGGAAGCCUGAACCAGCCAAGUAGCGUGAAGGACGACUGCCUAUGGGUUGUAAACUUCUUUUAUGCGGGGAUAGGUACCGCAUGAAUAAGGACCGGCUAAUUCCGUGCCAGCAGCCGCGGUAAUACGGAAGGUCCAGGCGUUAUCCGGAUUCAUUGGGUUUAAAGGGAGCGUAGGCCGCCUUUUAAGCGUGUUGUGAAAUGUAGGGGCUCAACCCCUGCACUGCAGCGCGAACUGGAGGGCUUGAGUACACACAAAGUAGGCGGAAUUCAUGGUGUAGCGGUGAAAUGCUUAGAUAUCAUGAAGAACCCCGAUUGCGAAGGCAGCUUACUGGAGUGUAACUGACGCUGAAGCUCGAAAGCGCGGGUAUCGAACAGGAUUAGAUACCCUGGUAGUCCGCGCGGUAAACGAUGGAUGCCCGCUGUUUGAGC
Molecule: ribosomal RNA, 580 nt
Filed under: uncultured bacterium
Lineage: Bacteria
Description: bacterial SSU rRNA
Rfam family: Bacterial small subunit ribosomal RNA
Source: RNAcentral